Molecule: long non-coding RNA, 534 nt
Filed under: Phoenix dactylifera (date palm)
Lineage: Eukaryota; Viridiplantae; Streptophyta; Magnoliopsida; Arecales; Arecaceae
Description: long non-coding RNA (PDAC_LNC021690)
Source: RNAcentral
GAAAAUGCAAAGAAAGAUUAAAGCUAUCUACCAAAAUAUUGGCAGAGAAUGUUUUCUCUUUCCUGUUAAGAUCUCUUCACCUAAUUCUGUGUUGGAUUUGACUUGCUAGUUGGUGGCAGCCUCCUCAAGCUUGCGCCGACCUCUGUCUCAGUUUGCUUGUCUGCUGCUGCACGGAAGCCUUUCAGAUUUCCAGAGUUGGUAGCCACAGGCUCCAACAGCCUUCUUAUUUGGACAUUCUCUUCUAGAGAUUUUCUCUCCAAGGAGGGGGGUGAUGGAAAGCUUGCUUAAAAAUGCAGUAGAAUCAAAACAGAGAGGAAAGAAAGAGCUCUGAAGAUGGCUUUCAUGGUUGGUUGGGACUUGGGAUGGUUAAGCGAUGUCCAUUUAUAUAUGAUCUCUGACCCCAUUAUUACACCUUAAGAAGACAAAUUUGCAGUAAAGGCAAUAGAUAAAGGGAAAAAAAUGACACUUCAGCUGACUGAAUAAAGAAACAAGAAGUAUUCUACCAAAAAUAAAGUAAAAUAAAAUAAAGAAACA